GGUAUUAAGAGGCAUGCCAAAUGGGGAGGGCCCGAGGCUGGUUGAGCGGGAGGACGGCAUUGAAGCAAUGGAAAGAUUUCAGUUUCACGAAAAUGAAGACUUGAGAAAUAUGGCAAAUUGUCUGGUCGAUAAGUACUUCGGUGAGGACUACGGUCUCGGUGAGUAGACAGUUCUAGUUUUCAAGACUUAGGCUUACUGUUUUCGUAAUCAAAAUUACAUACAUCCGUCCGUGGUGCGCUUGAGUCUACUAGCUGAUUUAUGAAAUUCGUCAUCCAUGGAGGAAGGUAGAGUUGAGCCUUCGGUAUUAUCUUUGUUAAUUUGCAACUUUCCUGAUGAGUUUGAUCAGAGCAUGUCUUACUUGAGCUGUAAAAUCUCCCCACGUCGUUACUAUAAGGAAAAUGCUUUGCAAAAUUGGGUAAAUGACAUGGAUUUUG
RNAcentral lists this unclassified non-coding RNA (434 nucleotides) under Hevea brasiliensis (rubber tree). Lineage: Eukaryota; Viridiplantae; Streptophyta; Magnoliopsida; Malpighiales; Euphorbiaceae. The record is from RNAcentral.